RNAcentral lists this unclassified non-coding RNA (377 nucleotides) under plant metagenome. RNAcentral describes it as "partial contains 5.8S ribosomal RNA, internal transcribed spacer 2, and large subunit ribosomal RNA". The stretch from base 1 to 104 matches the Rfam family "5.8S ribosomal RNA", at positions 51 to 154 of the family's 154-position model. The record is from RNAcentral.
AAAUGCGAUAAGUAAUGUGAAUUGCAGAAUUCAGUGAAUCAUCGAAUCUUUGAACGCACCUUGCGCUCCUUGGUAUUCCUUGGAGCAUGCCUGUUUGAGUAUCAUGAAAUCUUCAAAGUAAAUCUUUUGUUAACUCAGUUGGUUUCUACUUUGGUAUUGGAGGUCUUUGCAGCUUCACACCUGCUCCUCUUUGUUCAUUAGCUGGAUCUCAGUGUUAUGCUUGGUUCCACUCGGCGUGAUAAGUUAUCUAUCGCUGAGGACACUGUAAAAGGUGGCCAAGGUAAAUGCAGAUGAACCGCUUCUAAUAGUCCAUUGACUUGGACAAUACUUUUAUGAUCUGAUCUCAAAUCAGGUAGGACUACCCGCUGAACUUAAGC